Long non-coding RNA from Neolamprologus brichardi, 500 nucleotides. RefSeq lists it as uncharacterized. The record is from RefSeq and is a predicted model, not a curated record. NCBI's taxonomy places the organism in Eukaryota, Metazoa, Chordata, Actinopteri, Cichliformes, Cichlidae.
UUCAGCAUAUGUCCUCAGUUUAGUUAUUAACCUGGAACUUCCCAAUAGCUGGCCAGCUGUGAGGGUGGGUGGGGCAAUGGCUGACUGGAAGUCUCUCUUGUAGCCUGCAGUUCAUUUUCACAGGGAGCCGAGCAGGGAUCAGGAAAUUCCUGAAUAAGAGGAGAGUCAGAUCUUUCCAAGAGUGACUCUGCAGAAGUCUGAGUCACCACACUCGGCAGCACUGUACAAUGGGAGCUCAAUACCACAACGUGCGGCUACCAGCAAACAGAAAGCUAGAGGGGUUGGCUGAACCAGAGAAGACUGGAAACAGUUUAUCUCUGUCCAAAGCUCUUCAAGGGAAAACAGUGAUGUAACCUCUCCUGCAUGUCUUGGGUCUGCUGCGGGUCCUCCUCCUGGUUGGACACACCUGUAAAACCUCACCUGGGAGGCGUUCAGACAGCAUCCUUAUCAGAUGGCUGAGCCACCUUAACCGGCUCCUUUUGACAUUAAAUGAUUAAAAA